This 67-nucleotide transfer RNA is filed under the name Gunungiella wangi. RNAcentral describes it as "tRNA-Asp". The record is from RNAcentral. Lineage: Eukaryota; Metazoa; Arthropoda; Insecta; Trichoptera; Philopotamidae.
AAGAAUUAGUUAAUAUAUAACAUAAAAUUGUCAAAUUUAAGUAAUUAAAAUAAAUAAUAUUCUUAUA